RNAcentral lists this ribosomal RNA (515 nucleotides) under bacterium symbiont of Megymenum gracilicorne. RNAcentral describes it as "bacterial SSU rRNA". It matches the Rfam family "Bacterial small subunit ribosomal RNA", at positions 527 to 1041 of the family's 1533-position model. The record is from RNAcentral.
GGAGAGGGCUAGCGUUAUUCGGAAUUAUUGGGCGUAAAGAGCUCGUAGGCGGUUUGUCGCGUCUGCUGUGAAAUCCCGAGGCUCAACCUCGGGCCUGCAGUGGGUACGGGCAGACUAGAGUGCGGUAGGGGAGAUUGGAAUUCCUGGUGUAGCGGUGGAAUGCGCAGAUAUCAGGAGGAACACCGAUGGCGAAGGCAGAUCUCUGGGCCGUAACUGACGCUGAGGAGCGAAAGGGUGGGGAGCAAACAGGCUUAGAUACCCUGGUAGUCCACGCUGUAAACGAUGAAUGUUAAAUAUGGGGAGUUUACUUUCUGUAUUACAGCUAACGCGUUAAACAUUCCGCCUGGGGACUACGGUCGCAAGAUUAAAACUCAAAGGAAUUGACGGGGACCCGCACAAGCGGUGGAGCAUGUGGUUUAAUUCGAUGCAACGCGAAAAACCUUACCACUCCUUGACAUGGAAAUUAUACCUAUUCGAAGGGAUAGGGUCGGUUCGGCCGGGUUUCACACAGGUGU